AACCCACCAACAAAUUAAAAACAAAUAUUUAUUCAAUCAUUUUUUGUGAGUUUCCGGUUUUGCCCACAGAAGCCUCAGUCCCCGCUGUCCUUUCCUCUUCUCUCCUCCGCCGCUCGAUCGCCGCCGGCGCAUUUUAGCAUCACCAACCGCGUCAACACAUACGAUGGACGUCCGAAGGCGAUCGACGAUGGAUACACCUGCCACCAAGGCCAGAAGUGGGCCGAUGAAGGUGAAAGUGGUGGACCACGAGGGCGACGUUGGUGUCGUCGGGGCCAAGGCCUCCGACGCCCUGCCGCUGCCGUUGUACCUGACUAACGCCGUCUUCUUCACUCUCUUCUUCUCCGUCGUCUACUUCCUCCUUACUCGUUGGCGCGAGAAGAUCAGGACCUCGACGCCGCUCCACGUCGUGAACCUUUCCGAGAUCGUCGCGAUACUCGCGUUCGUCGCCUCCUUCAUCUACUUGCUCGGAUUCUUCGGGAUCGAUUUCGUGCAGUCGCUCAUUCUCCGCCCCAGCAAUGACGUCUGGGCCGCCGACGAUGACGAGGAGGAGCACGAGCGCUUGAUAUUGAAGGACGACGCCCGGAAAGUGCCGUGUGGGGCCGGACUCGACUGCAGCCCAAUUCCCCAAAUUGCCCCUGUUGCUGCUGCCGCCCCCAAAGCUGUUGCACAGAAGGUGUUUGAUAAAGAGGUAGUCCUCUCCACUCCCUGCGAUUUCACCGCCCAGCCGUUGACGGAGGAAGAU
This 742-nucleotide long non-coding RNA is filed under the name Malus domestica (apple). RNAcentral's name for it is "long non-coding RNA (MDOM_LNC004929)". Lineage: Eukaryota; Viridiplantae; Streptophyta; Magnoliopsida; Rosales; Rosaceae. The record is from RNAcentral.